GCUCAUGGCUCAGGAUGAACGCUAGCUACAGGCUUAACACAUGCAAGUCGAGGGGCAGCAUGAACUUAGCUUGCUAAGUUUGAUGGCGACCGGCGCACGGGUGAGUAACACGUAUCCAACCUGCCGAUGACUCGGGGAUAGCCUUUCGAAAGAAAGAUUAAUACCCGAUGGCAUAGUUCUUCCGCAUGGUAGAACUAUUAAAGAAUUUCGGUCAUCGAUGGGGAUGCGUUCCAUUAGG
RNAcentral lists this ribosomal RNA (238 nucleotides) under uncultured bacterium. RNAcentral's name for it is "partial 16S ribosomal RNA". It matches the Rfam family "Bacterial small subunit ribosomal RNA", at positions 15 to 245 of the family's 1533-position model. The record is from RNAcentral.